This 752-nucleotide ribosomal RNA is filed under the name uncultured Candidatus Poseidoniales archaeon. RNAcentral's name for it is "bacterial SSU rRNA". It matches the Rfam family "Archaeal small subunit ribosomal RNA", at positions 102 to 857 of the family's 1478-position model. The record is from RNAcentral. Lineage: Archaea; Methanobacteriati; Thermoplasmatota; Candidatus Poseidoniia; Candidatus Poseidoniales.
GGAUAACUUGCCCUACACUGGGGGAUAAUCUUGGGAAACUGAGGAUAAUACCCCAUAGACCACUACGCCUGGAACGGUGAGUGGUUGAAAGCUCCGGCGGUGUAGGAUGGGUCUGCGGCGUAUCAGGUGGUAGGGGGUGUAAUGGACCUCCUAGCCAUCGACGCGUACGGGUUGUGGGAGCAAUAGCCCGGAGACGGAUUCUGAGACACGAAUCCGGACCCUACGGGGUGCAGCAGGCGCGAAAACUUCACACUGCAGGAAACUGUGAUGAGGGAACUCCAAGUGACUGCACAAUGUGUAGCCUUUUCUUGAAUCUUAAUAGUUCUUGGAAUAAGGGCUGGGAAAGACCGGUGCCAGCCGCCGCGGUAAUACCGGCAGCUCAAGUGGUCGUCGCUUUUAUUGGGCCUAAAACGUCCGUAGCCUGUUUGGUAAAUCUGUGGGUAAAUCAACGAGCUUAACUCGUUGAAUUCUGCAGAGACUGCCAGACUAGGGACCGGGAGAGGUAUGAGGUACUCUGGGGGUAGGGGUAAAAUCCUGUCAUCCUCAGAGGACCACCUGUUGCGAAGGCGUCAUACUGGAACGGAUCCGACGGUCAGGGACGAAGCCUAGGGGCACGAACCGGAUUAGAUACCCGGGUAGUCCUAGGUGUAAACGCUGUGGAUUUGGUGUGUGGGGUCCGCAAUGGGCCCCAUGUGCCGGAGUGAAGAUGUUAAAUCCACUUCCUGGGUAGUAUGGUCGCAAGGCUGAAACUU